UAUGCUACAACAACAUAAUCUAGUUAACCAGGUCAGGGCAGGAAUGCAGCAGCCUUACAUUAGCUCUUAUGUGUGUUGUGGCUCUUUU
This 88-nucleotide signal recognition particle RNA is filed under the name Erysipelothrix rhusiopathiae. Its description in RNAcentral is "signal recognition particle sRNA small type". It matches the Rfam family "Bacterial small signal recognition particle RNA". From Rfam's summary of the family: The signal recognition particle (SRP) is a universally conserved ribonucleoprotein involved in the co-translational targeting of proteins to membranes. RNAcentral also lists the same sequence under 6 other names. The record is from RNAcentral. Lineage: Bacteria; Bacillati; Bacillota; Erysipelotrichia; Erysipelotrichales; Erysipelotrichaceae.